Molecule: non-coding RNA, 82 nt
Organism: Blastosporella zonata
Lineage: Eukaryota; Fungi; Basidiomycota; Agaricomycetes; Agaricales; Lyophyllaceae
Source: the annotation of a GenBank genome assembly
UCCCUCUUAGCUCAGUGGUAGAGCGCAUCACUAGUAUCGGUAUUUAAUGAUGAGGUCAGUCGUUCAAGUCGGCUAGAGGGAA